This 773-nucleotide ribosomal RNA is filed under the name Baikaloasellus sp. RV-2005. Its description in RNAcentral is "eukaryotic LSU rRNA". It matches the Rfam family "Eukaryotic large subunit ribosomal RNA", at positions 372 to 956 of the family's 3401-position model. Lineage: Eukaryota; Metazoa; Arthropoda; Malacostraca; Isopoda; Asellidae. The record is from RNAcentral.
GACUUGAAGAAGAGUCAAGAGAACGUGAAACUACCACGAGGUUAAAGCGGAUGUACUUUUGCAGCCGAACGGGGGGUCUCAACUCCGAGAGCCUUCGGCGGCGGUCGCGUUCGGACCUUUCGCAGCGUCCUUUCCCUUCGCGGGGAGAGGCUCCGCUCGAAGGCCGUCGCGGUCGUCGGAUCGUCGGACAGUGGGGCGGAUUUCUCUCCCUAAUAGGCAGCCGCGGCCGCUCGGAGACGACCUAUGGCUCGGGAGCUGGGAACCGUCCAGCGCUUUCGGGCGCUGGCGGGGACUCUCCCUUGAUUCUGGUCGUCCCUCGGGCGAGUUUGACAAAAGACGGAGAGUUCUCCUCGAUGGAAGGGUCUCUCCGUACGCGGCUGAAAUUUGCGAUCGUUCAUCCGUCCCGUCUUGAAACACGGACCAAGGAGUCUAACAUGUACGCGAGUCAAAGGGUUGGCUAAACCCCAAGGCGUAACGAAAGUAAAUAAGGCCUUUUAUUAGGUCGUUGGGUCGAUCCGUGCUCCCUUCGUGGACCGGCGCAGACCCGGGGCUCGCCGCUACCUCUUUCGUUCUUUUCCCUUUUCGGAGGGUUGGAUUCGGGGCGGACGGCGGGCACCUUGAGCGUACAUGCUAGUACCCGAAAGAUGGUGAUCUAUGCCUGGCCAGAUGAAGCCAGAGGAAACUCUGGUGGAGGUCCGUAGCGAUUCUGACGUGCAAAUCGAUCGUCAGAGCUGGUAUAGGGCGAAAGCCAAUCGACCAUCUAGUAGCUGGUU